GCUGGGCGCUGUGGUGCACGUCUGUAAUCCCAGCUGCUUGGGAGGCUGAGACAGGAAGAUCAUGAGUUCAAAGCCAGCCUCAGCAAAAGUGAGGUGCUAAGCAAACUCAGUGAGACCCUGUCUCUA
RNAcentral lists this small RNA (126 nucleotides) under Marmota monax (woodchuck). Lineage: Eukaryota; Metazoa; Chordata; Mammalia; Rodentia; Sciuridae. The record is from RNAcentral.